AACAAACACGCAAUGCAUCAUACAAUCAAGUGUUUUUUCUUUAAAAAUAUAGCAAUCUUUAACUUACUAUUGUUUGCAGUGAGUGAAUUUAAAACCAUCGGGAGAGGAGCUGACGUCACUCCCAUCUGCAGCAAUGCAACAGAGAACAUAACGCUCAUAGUGUGUAAGAUCAGAACUAACAGGACUGGAGCAGAGUGUCGUCUGCUGUAUCGAUACGGAGGAGACUUUGAGCACGAAUGUGACUCCAGGUUCACUCUUAAGAUGGAGAAUCAGACCGUGUUUCUCCACCUGACUGGUCUCACACCAGUGGACAGUGGGAACUACACCUGUGAGUGUUCACGUGGGGGCGAGACCGUUACCCUCCAUCUGAAUAUCACCGUGGAAGAAGAGAGAGAGAGCGGCGUGACGUCACACACGCGGCUUCUAAACGCGUUGAUCGGUGCAACAACAGUCAUCUGUAUAACUGCAGUUAUCUUUGGGUUGAUCUACA
This is a non-coding RNA of Gasterosteus aculeatus aculeatus (three-spined stickleback), 490 nucleotides long. The record is from RefSeq and is a predicted model, not a curated record. Lineage: Eukaryota; Metazoa; Chordata; Actinopteri; Perciformes; Gasterosteidae.